GACAGCGGUUACACUCGACAG
This 21-nucleotide unclassified non-coding RNA is filed under the name Mus musculus (house mouse). RNAcentral describes it as "oocyte_clustered_small_RNA12328". Lineage: Eukaryota; Metazoa; Chordata; Mammalia; Rodentia; Muridae. The record is from RNAcentral.